RNAcentral lists this long non-coding RNA (1514 nucleotides) under Olea europaea subsp. europaea. The record is from RNAcentral. Lineage: Eukaryota; Viridiplantae; Streptophyta; Magnoliopsida; Lamiales; Oleaceae.
GCCUUUUAAAAUUCAAAACAACACACGAACAUCUCUCUCCAGAAGGAAAGAAAUUUCCCAAAUCGAACUCUACCUUCCCAAAACAACACACAGCCAAUUACAACACAUCUCGCCGAUCGUCGUCGCACGACCAACGGUCCCCGGUCGUCGUGAAAAGAAGGGGGCAACACUAAAAAGUUCUCUGUAUCCCUCAAUUGAAAAAAUCGGAAUUUUGAAAUCAUCCCAGGCUUUCCACCCACAGUAUUCGGUCGCGUCACUCGUUGUUGCUAAACUCGCACGACCCACAGCAUUUGGUCGUCGUCAAACAUUCGGACACCGCAUGGAAGUUGCACGCCACCGCACUCCAGUUGCAUCUGGACGGGUCUCAAGACAGAUGCUAAAGAGCUUGUUGAUUGUUAUAGAAAAAAGGAAAAUCUAAAAAUUGAAGAAGAAAUUUCUGAAGUUUUGGGACCUCUACCAAUUGAAUGAUGUGUUACUCUGGAAGCAUUUCCUCUGCUGGUAUACAUGUAAAACAAAUGACUGACCCCCUGACUCAUGUAAAUUUUCAUAUAGUGGUGUAUGAAAGACGUUUCCAAAUUUCUUGAUUUUCCACCAUUUCAAUUAACACCCCCUCCCCAAUUUAGUGAUGAUAACUAAUAUGUGUUCCUCUAUUGGUCAUAUCAGUUAAAUUUAUUAAUGAAUUACUUCUGAAAAAUUGAACUAUGGGAGAAAAAAUACGGCAAUUAAUGUUGCUGCUUAUAUUUUGUUUCUUUCAUGGAUCUAAAUAUUUGAAUUGCUUAUCACAUUAUGUUCUUUUCUUUUCCAUUUGAAAAGAUUAUGAAAUGGAACAACUGAAAUCCAUUGUAUUUGGUGGAUUUACUAUCAGUUCAUGAUUGGCAGUAAUUGAAAUUGGCUAUUGGUCUGUGUUGGUACAAUGCCUGGAAGGAAUCGUGGGUCGUUAAAGAAGAGAAAAGAGGCGAAUCUAAUCGUAGCUCAACUCUCCUUAACAAUGCGAUGAACGGCCCAGAGGAAGAAAUCUUACGCAUGUUCGAUUCUAGAGUUCGGAUCAGUGACAAAGAAGAGCUCCAAAUAUGGGUGAAUGUGAGCGUCCGAGUGGGAAAAUAACCUGUAGAAGUCAAUGCAAAACGGGAAACGUCUCAAUGUGUUGCAUGUGUUGUAUUCCAGUAUUUAUCUGUUGAAUGUGUUGUAUUCCAUUAGCUAUUGGAUUUUGAGACUCCCAGGUUCACUUUUGAUUAGCCUAUGGGAGCACUUGCAGUUGUAACAAAAUUAUUCCAUCUCUAAAUGAAUCUGUAACCCACAUAUUUAUGUCAUAUUUGAUAAAAUAGAUUAUACACUCCACCGAACAUGUUCUUAGCAAUUAUCAGUUUUGAAAGCAGAAAUACCUCUUCUUUGGGUUACUGAUAAGGCCUCCAACAAAACACAUUUAUUCAGUUUCACAUUUGAUUUCUACUGGACAUUGUAGAGUCUAAUUAUAGUGUAUGCCUAGAUUGCUGGAUAUAUUGCUGAAAUGGAAU